GUUGUCACCUGGCACAGGAGACACUGUGAUCACGAAGGCGGUUCUCCCAGGGCGAGGUUUGCCAUUGCACUCCGGCAGUGCUGACCCCUGCGAUUAACCUAAAUGUGGUUAACUCAAGUGCGAAAUUUUUGUCAAAUAUGUGUACGACACAUAUUUGAC
Scylla paramamosain (green mud crab) is the source of this 159-nucleotide small nuclear RNA. RefSeq annotates it as U1 spliceosomal RNA. The record is from RefSeq and is a predicted model, not a curated record. The transcript has a single exon. Lineage: Eukaryota; Metazoa; Arthropoda; Malacostraca; Decapoda; Portunidae.